RNAcentral lists this long non-coding RNA (949 nucleotides) under Gossypium barbadense (sea-island cotton). Its description in RNAcentral is "long non-coding RNA (GBAR_LNC003742)". Lineage: Eukaryota; Viridiplantae; Streptophyta; Magnoliopsida; Malvales; Malvaceae. The record is from RNAcentral.
CCAAAAAUAAAACAAAAUAAAUAAAAUGCCACAAUCCAUUAAAGCAGGCCAAUAUGGCCUAAAUCAGAAAAUAAAAUACCCGGGCCCAUACCAGCAAAAUAGACCCAAAUAAUAAAAACAAAAGCAACCCAUUUUCAGCCAAUUUAAACCCAAAAACUACAAGCCCAAAUGCCCAAUAUUAAUAAAAACCCUAGAGGCCCAAAUGGCCCAAAACUACACCAACUUUCAAACACAAAAAGAAACCUCAGCCGCAUGUUGUUGCUGCCACCUCCUGCGCACGCCCACCGCCGCUACUCGCCAAUCGCUGGCUUCGCGUGUCCACGCGUCUGACACCAUCUGCCGCUGCAUGCUCCUCCUCCACUACCAGCACCUCCAUGCCCUGCAAGAUCAAGACAAAAAAAUAGGAUAGAAUAAUAGAAAAAGGAUGUAAAAAGGGGUUAUAAAACCCGAAAUGAAGGACUGAACGGAGGGGGGGAACCUUUGAAUAUAUAAAAAUCGUAUCAAACGAACAUUGGAAAUAAAAAGAAAAAAACACAAAAGGUUGAUCUCUUAUUCUACUUUCUUUAUUUCCAUUUCGUUUUUCAUCUCUCUAAUAUUUCCUUUUUAUUUUAACACGAAUCUAUUAAAUAAGAGUAGCCAUAAAAUAAAAAGAAAAGGAAGAGAAGAACCUUACCGGAACCGCCUGUGGUUGCUUCGCGGGAGGUCUCUCCUCCAUCGUCGGGGCUAAAAGAGGGGUGAGGGCCCUUUCUUUCGGUUCUUUUCGACUCAAGAAGGCUAGGCCUUCAAACUCUUUUGGAACAAGGCCGAAUGGCCUAUUCUUGUGCAUUGCCGGCCACCGAGUAUGGUGGUGGUGCGGCGGUCAGACGAUGGCAGCGAGGAUGGGUUUCGAAACCCUAUCUGCAAGGGAGGAAAAAUAGAAAAGGGAGAGAGAGAGUAGGAAGACUCUCUG